This 497-nucleotide ribosomal RNA is filed under the name uncultured bacterium. Its description in RNAcentral is "partial 16S ribosomal RNA". It matches the Rfam family "Bacterial small subunit ribosomal RNA", at positions 28 to 507 of the family's 1533-position model. The record is from RNAcentral.
GAUGAACGCUGGCGGCGUGCCUAAUACAUGCAAGUCGAGCGAACGGACGAGAAGCUUGCUUCUCUGAUGUUAGCGGCGGACGGGUGAGUAACACGUGGAUAACCUACCUAUAAGACUGGGAUAACUUCGGGAAACCGGAGCUAAUACCGGAUAAUAUUUUGAACCGCAUGGUUCAAAAGUGAAAGACGGUCUUGCUGUCGCUUAUAGAUGGAUCCGCGCUGCAUUAGCUAGUUGGUAAGGUAACGGCUUACCAAGGCAACGAUGCAUAGCCGACCUGAGAGGGUGAUCGGCCACACUGGAACUGAGACACGGUCCAGACUCCUACGGGAGGCAGCAGUAGGGAAUCUUCCGCAAUGGGCGAAAGCCUGACGGAGCAACGCCGCGUGAGUGAUGAAGGUCUUCGGAUCGUAAAACUCUGUUAUUAGGGAAGAACAUAUGUGUAAGUAACUGUGCACAUCUUGACGGUACCUAAUCAGAAAGCCACGGCUAACUACGUG